CUACGGAGGGUGCAAGCGUUAUUCGGAAUCACUGGGCGUAAAGGACGCGUAGGCGGGUUGGCAAGUCAGAUGUGAAAUCCUACAGCUUAACUGUAGAACUGCAUUUGAAACUGCUAACCUAGAGUAUGGGAGGGGGAGAUGGAAUUAGUGGUGUAGGGGUAAAAUCCGUAGAUAUCACUAGGAAUACCGAAAGCGAAGGCGAUCUCCUGGAACAUAACUGACGCUAAGGCGUGAAAGCGUGGGGAGCAAACAGGAUUAGAUACCCUAGUAGUCC
Molecule: ribosomal RNA, 274 nt
Filed under: uncultured bacterium
Lineage: Bacteria
Description: partial 16S ribosomal RNA
Rfam family: Bacterial small subunit ribosomal RNA
Source: RNAcentral